GAAGUUCUUCAUGCGAUUGUUAGUUAUCUGUCGUGCUAUUUUAGUAUGAUUGUUAUUAGCAGUUGUUUUGUGAAAUGUAUUAUCAAAAUCAAUGUUUAUUGAACGCAGAUUCAGUUUAUUUUCAGAUGUACCUAGGUACCCUUACACUUCACUCAUCUCAAGCUGUUCAAACACCCUUGACAAAGUCGAUUAAGAUGAAACGUUGGGUAUAAUUUAUACUGUGUUUUCUCUGCAUUAUUAACAUAUUCAUCAUAUAUACAAUAUAAGGGCCACAUGCUUUUUACAGGGAGACAUGUCAGACAGCCCAGUAGGAUGAGGCUUCGUCAAGCGUCAUUUUUAGCAACGCUUUUCUUGCUUAAAAUCCAGUCUGCAAAACAUGGCAGGGCUUACACUUUGGCUUACACUUGACUCCCAGCUGUUGUGUCUUUGCUAUGCGAUGUUAAACAUAUAAAACAUCUUACUAUUCAUGUAUGCGCCAUGACUCAUGUAAUCUUUUCACAGCCAAGACGCUCCUAAGGUACUGGGAAUGUGGGGAGUGCAGCAGCAUCAGUGCAGCACCGAUGGUCGGAUGCGACGGCUGCGAUAAAUGGUACCACUUCCGUUGUGCGGGACUGACUAAGGAGCCAGAAACACCGACAUGGCGAUGCAGGUGGCGCUGCCUGGUGAGGCCGCGGUCUCCGGAAUCGCCUGCAGACGAAGUCACCUGGCGUCCAUCUGCACAUCACUUGCAGCAGUGAGGCCUGCUGACAGCGUCUGGCAGUGUCGGCAACGUGCCAGACAGCUAUCUGGAGUCCUGCUCACCGCAGGUCGCCGACAGGAGGGGCGACGCAUCGUCUCCGAGGUCGCCUCAGCAGCAGUGAGACCCCACUGGCCGUCUUCUUAGGCUUCAACUAGAUUGCGAACAACCUAUGCUGAGACAACGCCCAUGACGUGUGAUCCGGUACCGCUACCGCACUGCGUGCCUGUGCCCGCCGUGAGCCGGCUAGUGCAUGGGUUCGACCAUGAGAAUAUGUGUUUAUGUUGCUUUUACUAUUGUUUAUACGUUGAAGUGACGAAUUGUUUAUUUUUCGCAAGCCUCCGCUGUCCGGUUGCCUGCAGCUCCAUGCAACGCCAGCUGUACUGUUGUUUUAAUGUUGUCUCUCCGCUCAGCUGUGCUGUUGCCUCUCCGCUCAUAACAACCUAUGCUGAGACAACGCCCAUGACGUGUGAUCCGGUACCGCUACCGCACUGCGCGCCUGUGCCCGCCGUGAGCCGCUAGUGCAUGGGUUCGACCAUGAGAAUAUGUGUUUAUGUUGCUUUUACUAUUGUUUAUACGUUGAAGUGACAAAUUGUUUAUUUUUCGCAAGCUUCCGCUGUCCGGUUGCCUGCAGCUCCAUGCAACGCCAGCUGUACUGUUGUUUUAAUGUUGUCUCUCCGCUCAGCUGUACUGUUGCCUCUCCGCUCAUAUAUGACACCCUCUACAUGAAUGGCACCACUGAUUGUCACACCUACUGUCCGUAUUGUCCGUAGUGGUGUCUGAGCAGUAAUCGCCACGCACUUUCAGAAUGUGGAUCGCUCAUGAUUGUUCAAUACAAUACAAUACAAUAC
This is a long non-coding RNA of Amphibalanus amphitrite, 1587 nucleotides long. RefSeq lists it as uncharacterized. The transcript is spliced from 2 exons. The record is from RefSeq and is a predicted model, not a curated record. NCBI's taxonomy places the organism in Eukaryota, Metazoa, Arthropoda, Thecostraca, Balanomorpha, Balanidae.